RNAcentral lists this unclassified non-coding RNA (432 nucleotides) under soil metagenome. RNAcentral's name for it is "partial contains 5.8S ribosomal RNA, internal transcribed spacer 2, and large subunit ribosomal RNA". The stretch from base 1 to 120 matches the Rfam family "5.8S ribosomal RNA", at positions 35 to 154 of the family's 154-position model. The record is from RNAcentral.
GAUGAAGAACGCAGCGAAAUGCGAUACGUAAUGUGAAUUGCAGAAUUCAGUGAAUCAUCGAAUCUUUGAACGCAUAUUGCGCUCUCUGGUAUUCCGGAGAGCAUGCUUGUUUGAGUAUCAGUAAACACCUCAACUUCCAUAUCUUUUUUGAAAUGGGAGUUGGACUUGAGUGAUCCCAACGCUUUUCCUCACCGAAAAGUGGCGGGUUACUUGAAAUGCACGUGCAGCUGGACUUUUCUCUGAGCUAUAAGCAUAUCUAUUUAGUCUGCCUAAAAACAGAUUAUUACCUUUGCUGCAGCUAACAUAAAGGAGAUUAGUUCUUGUGCUGACUGAUGCAGGAUUCACAAAGACAGGCUUCGGCCGACUUUGUAAACUCGAUCUCAAAUCAAGUAAGACUACCCGCUGAACUUAAGCAUAUCAAUAAGCGGAGGA